Molecule: transfer RNA, 85 nt
Filed under: Desulfobacterales bacterium SG8_35_2
Lineage: Bacteria; Pseudomonadati; Thermodesulfobacteriota; Desulfobacteria; Desulfobacterales
Description: tRNA-Thr
Rfam family: tRNA
About the family: Transfer RNA (tRNA) molecules are approximately 80 nucleotides in length.
Source: RNAcentral
GCUGGCGUAGCUCAAUUGGCAGAGCAGCUGAUUUGUAAUCAGCAGGUUGCGGGUUCAAGUCCCAUAAGUCCCAUCGCCAGCUCCA